CAUGGCUUGUGAUCACUGUUAAGCCUAACACUAUGAGAUGCAAACCAAAACACACUGAAGAGUCUCUUAUUCCAGAAGAGACUAGAAAUGGGAAUUCUGCUGAAGUAUUAUGUGAAAGUAAAGACACUAUACAUCCAACUGUCAAUAAGUAUGCAAUAAAUCAACAAGAAAACAAAAAAUUGGAGCCACUGUUUCAAUAUUUCAGUAAUUUUCGUGUAACCAUAUUAAAAAAAAAAAAAAAAAAAACAGUAGCACCCCAGGAGUGAAUUACAGAACUGCAAGCUGAAAAAAACAGGUUGUCAUCUUGGAAAACUUGAGCUGAGAUAGUGGAUAAACAUAUUGAUAGGCAAGAAUUUAUUAAUAACUAAACUUUCAGGGAAGCUGUCUUAAAACCCAAAUAUAAAUAUUGGUCUAAGGAAAACAUGGUUGAUAUUAAGAUGCAAUUAAUGAAAUUUCUUUUGGCCCAGUGAAAAUAGACUAAAUAUUGAAAACUAUCAAAUCCUAC
This 505-nucleotide long non-coding RNA is filed under the name Androctonus crassicauda. The record is from RNAcentral. Lineage: Eukaryota; Metazoa; Arthropoda; Arachnida; Scorpiones; Buthidae.